CAUUCAGGUACGAUUUUAUGAAGAGAAUGAAAACGGACCAAUAUGGGAAGCUUUUGGAAACUUUGGACCCUCAGAUGUUCAUAGACAGUAUGCCAUUGUGUUCAGGACACCCAAGUACUAUGAUUUGCACAUAACCAAACCGGUUACAGUGUUUGUGCAAUUAAGAAGAAGGUCAGAUGGAGAAACAAGUGAAUCCAAACCAUUCAUUUACUAUGCUCAGAAACGAGAUCCAGGGCGAAUUCAAAGAAAAAGGAGAAAAGGCUUCUCAAAAGGAUCUGAAGGUGCAGGAAGAAAAACAGGUAGUAGACGAGAGCAGAAAACAAAUGGCCCUG
Long non-coding RNA from Protopterus annectens (West African lungfish), 332 nucleotides. RefSeq lists it as uncharacterized. The transcript is spliced from 3 exons. The record is from RefSeq and is a predicted model, not a curated record. NCBI's taxonomy places the organism in Eukaryota, Metazoa, Chordata, Ceratodontiformes, Protopteridae.